ACAAACGACUCUCGGCAACGGAUAUCUCGGCUCACGC
RNAcentral lists this ribosomal RNA (37 nucleotides) under Minuria graminifolia. RNAcentral's name for it is "Isoetopsis graminifolia 5.8S ribosomal RNA". The record is from RNAcentral. Lineage: Eukaryota; Viridiplantae; Streptophyta; Magnoliopsida; Asterales; Asteraceae.